GAUGCUGAAACAAAGGACAGUGAGAGUGAAUCAGAUGAUGAUGACACAGCACUCACAAUGUCGGCGUGUGGCACCAGUGAGCCUGUACAUGCAGUAGCUGAUUCCACAAACACAGCGCAGCUCCAAGACACUGUAGAUUGUGCAGAUGAAGAACCACUCAUAAUGCCUGCAGCAAGUGAGACUGCUGCUCCCUCUGAAGAUAAAAAUGCUGCUCAAUCCCACAAUUCCCGAAGAGCUCCCAAAAACAUGUGGUCCAAGGCUGAGGUUGCUGCAGUGAUGAGGCAUUUUAAAGACCACAUAAACGAAGGGAAACUGGCCACCAAAAAUGAAUGCAGUCAUUGCAAAUUGGUAGAAGAUCCGAUGUUGGCAGGAAGAACAGUUCAAAACAUAAGAGAUUUUGUAAGAAACAGAGGAUUAACUGCAAAAA
Pelmatolapia mariae (spotted tilapia) is the source of this 427-nucleotide long non-coding RNA. RefSeq lists it as uncharacterized. The record is from RefSeq and is a predicted model, not a curated record. The transcript has 3 exons. NCBI's taxonomy places the organism in Eukaryota, Metazoa, Chordata, Actinopteri, Cichliformes, Cichlidae.